AACCCUAAACCCGAAAUCCUAAACUCUAAAUCAUAAACCCUAAACUUUAAACCCUAAACCCUAAUGUAAUUACUCACUACUCCCACCACCUCCACUAUCUCCACCAUCUCCACCAUCUCCACCAUCCCCAACUUCUUUAAAGAGAAAGAGAGAGAGAAAGAGAGAGAAAAAGAGAGAGAAAGCUCACCUGAGCUCGUCGCCGGAGCAACCGUGUGCCGUGAUCACGUUGAGCUCGUCACCACCGUUCGCUGCAGCUUAGAAUCGCCGGAAACCGCCAUACAGUUAAGCUUAGUUUCGUCCGUUUAGUAAUUCGCCGAUAACUCUCUAACCGUUGCGAAUCUCGUGCAUCCAAGACCAUCAUCGUGUUCCUCUCGUCGAGACGAAGCCGUAGACACCAACCACGCCUCGAACGGAGCCCGGACGAAGCCGCACGCGCCUCCCGAAGACGCCGCCGGACCACCGUUCUCCGCCGCAGCGCCGCCGCCGUACCACCGUUCUCCACCGCCGCGGCCGCCGCCGUAGCUCCGCCGUCGCCGCCGGUGACCGACACCGGCGACUCGCCAACUCGGCCGAGUUGACCCGGUGAGUCAACUCGGUUGACUCGGUCAACCGGUGGUUUGACCGGUUUAAAUCGAUUUCGAUUCAGUUAGGUUAAACCGGUCGGUUAAAAUCAAUUGAAAAUCGGUUAGGAUAAACCGAAUUAAUUAAUUAAAUAAUUAAUUAAUUAAUUAAUUAAUUAAUUAAUUAAAUAAUUGAUUUUUGACCAGCGGGUUGACUUUUCCGUAAAUAUUCGUUUUAAACCGUUCGAAAGGCGUUCUGACUCAAAAUUUCGAUCUGAUUUCUGAUUUGGAGUCCAUUUGAACAGCUGGAGUUCAUAUAUACCACUUCUCUUCAUUGCUAAGGUGAGACCGACGAGCAGGAGUGAUUUUUCGGACCGGUGCUUUUGGGCUUUUACUACUAUUGGGCUUUUGGGCUUCUAUCGUUUUAUCGCUUUUAUCGUUAUCGGGCCUCUAGGCCUUUGGGCUUUUAUCGUUUAUGUUAUUUCGUAUUUCGGACUCUCGGUUUAUGUCGUACUUUAUGUUUCAGAUUUUAUUUUAUAUUAUGGAAUUCAAGUGUGGAUGUUGACUUUCAAAUAUUUAUAUAUGGAUAUUUCAGAUAUUUGUACUUA
Long non-coding RNA from Brassica napus (rape), 1168 nucleotides. RefSeq lists it as uncharacterized. The transcript has 2 exons. NCBI's taxonomy places the organism in Eukaryota, Viridiplantae, Streptophyta, Magnoliopsida, Brassicales, Brassicaceae. The record is from RefSeq and is a predicted model, not a curated record.